CUUCCGUAGGUGAACCUGCGGAAGGAUCAGUACACGGGGGGUGGGGGGGGGGGGAGCAACCCGCGAGCGCAUGUCUAUUGGCAGCGGAUGCUUCGGCGGGCCCGCCGCUUGUCGGCCGCCGGGGGGGCGCCUCUGCCCCCCGGGCCCGUGCCCGCCGGAGACCCCAACACGAACACUGUCUGAAAGCGUGCAGUCUGAGUUGAUUGAAUGCAAUCAGUUAAAACUUUCAACAAUGGAUCUCUUGGUUCCGGCAUCGAUGAAGAACGCAGCGAAAUGCGAUAACUAAUGUGAAUUGCAGAAUUCAGUGAAUCAUCGAGUCUUUGAACGCACAUUGCGCCCCCUGGUAUUCCGGGGGGCAUGCCUGUCCGAGCGUCAUUGCUGCCCUCAAGCCCGGCUUGUGUGUUGGGUCGCCGUCCCCCUCUCCGGGGGGACGGGCCCGAAAGGCAGCGGCGGCACCGCGUCCGAUCCUCGAGCGUAUGGGGCUUUGUCACAUGCUCUGUAGGAUUGGCCGGCGCCUGCCGACGUUUUCCAACCAUUAGCAUCACACUUGACCUCGGAUCAGGUAGGGAUACCCGCUGAACUUAAGCAUAUCAAU
RNAcentral lists this ribosomal RNA (595 nucleotides) under Aspergillus niger. RNAcentral describes it as "eukaryotic LSU rRNA". The stretch from base 222 to 375 matches the Rfam family "5.8S ribosomal RNA". The record is from RNAcentral. Lineage: Eukaryota; Fungi; Ascomycota; Eurotiomycetes; Eurotiales; Aspergillaceae.